RNAcentral lists this ribosomal RNA (1360 nucleotides) under Pediococcus pentosaceus. RNAcentral describes it as "bacterial SSU rRNA". It matches the Rfam family "Bacterial small subunit ribosomal RNA", at positions 62 to 1412 of the family's 1533-position model. Lineage: Bacteria; Bacillati; Bacillota; Bacilli; Lactobacillales; Lactobacillaceae. The record is from RNAcentral.
UUGUACUGAUUGAGAUUUUAACACGAAGUGAGUGGCGAACGGGUGAGUAACACGUGGGUAACCUGCCCAGAAGUAGGGGAUAACACCUGGAAACAGAUGCUAAUACCGUAUAACAGAGAAAACCGCAUGGUUUUCUUUUAAAAGAUGGCUCUGCUAUCACUUCUGGAUGGACCCGCGGCGUAUUAGCUAGUUGGUGAGGUAAAGGCUCACCAAGGCAGUGAUACGUAGCCGACCUGAGAGGGUAAUCGGCCACAUUGGGACUGAGACACGGCCCAGACUCCUACGGGAGGCAGCAGUAGGGAAUCUUCCACAAUGGACGCAAGUCUGAUGGAGCAACGCCGCGUGAGUGAAGAAGGGUUUCGGCUCGUAAAGCUCUGUUGUUAAAGAAGAACGUGGGUAAGAGUAACUGUUUACCCAGUGACGGUAUUUAACCAGAAAGCCACGGCUAACUACGUGCCAGCAGCCGCGGUAAUACGUAGGUGGCAAGCGUUAUCCGGAUUUAUUGGGCGUAAAGCGAGCGCAGGCGGUCUUUUAAGUCUAAUGUGAAAGCCUUCGGCUCAACCGAAGAAGUGCAUUGGAAACUGGGAGACUUGAGUGCAGAAGAGGACAGUGGAACUCCAUGUGUAGCGGUGAAAUGCGUAGAUAUAUGGAAGAACACCAGUGGCGAAGGCGGCUGUCUGGUCUGCAACUGACGCUGAGGCUCGAAAGCAUGGGUAGCGAACAGGAUUAGAUACCCUGGUAGUCCAUGCCGUAAACGAUGAUUACUAAGUGUUGGAGGGUUUCCGCCCUUCAGUGCUGCAGCUAACGCAUUAAGUAAUCCGCCUGGGGAGUACGACCGCAAGGUUGAAACUCAAAAGAAUUGACGGGGGCCCGCACAAGCGGUGGAGCAUGUGGUUUAAUUCGAAGCUACGCGAAGAACCUUACCAGGUCUUGACAUCUUCUGACAGUCUAAGAGAUUAGAGGUUCCCUUCGGGGACAGAAUGACAGGUGGUGCAUGGUUGUCGUCAGCUCGUGUCGUGAGAUGUUGGGUUAAGUCCCGCAACGAGCGCAACCCUUAUUACUAGUUGCCAGCAUUAAGUUGGGCACUCUAGUGAGACUGCCGGUGACAAACCGGAGGAAGGUGGGGACGACGUCAAAUCAUCAUGCCCCUUAUGACCUGGGCUACACACGUGCUACAAUGGAUGGUACAACGAGUCGCGAAACCGCGAGGUUAAGCUAAUCUCUUAAAACCAUUCUCAGUUCGGACUGUAGGCUGCAACUCGCCUACACGAAGUCGGAAUCGCUAGUAAUCGCGGAUCAGCAUGCCGCGGUGAAUACGUUCCCGGGCCUUGUACACACCGCCCGUCACACCAUGAGAGUU